UACAUCUACCAGCCAUAAACCACAAAACCAGUUCUACUCAACACACACAAGCACGCACACACACACCCAGACACCUCCACAACCGACCACCCCUAAUGCAGAACAACAAAGAGAUAGAGGAGAUGUCAAAAGAUACACGAGGCUUGACAGAAAAAAUGAUAGAAGAGCAAUGCUCAAUUCUUCAUUACCAUAAAAUUAUAAUUCUAAUCAUCUUCCUUUAACAUAUCAAACUCCCUCCCUAAUAGUGUACCAAAACAUCUUCAUCAAUGCAGAUACAACUCCCUAAGCCACCAAAGCAUAUUAAAUGACAAUUGUUCCACCUAGCAACUUAAUUUAAAAUGCAACUUACAAUGCAUCAAAAUUGCCACAAAUAUUAAAUCACAGCCUAAAAUACAUGAAUCUCAAAUUAAUAAUUAAUGGAAUGACCAAACACCAAAAUACCAAAAGCCCUGUUGAAUAAAGUCCUUAUGCUCUGCAUCAACCCCACCUCCAUUUCAGCUCAGCUCAGAUUCUGGCCGUCCAAAUCAACCAGUUUUCCGACCCUUGAAUGUCUUCAGUUCUUGGUGUAAGGAGUUAUAGCUCCAUUGAAGAAGUGAGAGGCAUACGACAAUAUUUCUUCAUUCUAGAAUUCAGACAGGCAGGAUGUGGAUACUUCUGACUUUAUCAAGGAAUUCAGUAGUCCCCAUCAUCAUCAGUUUGUCUGCUAUUGCAGUUAGAGAACCAUUCCACAGGAGAAGGUGGGGUUACACCUUCAGUUUAUUCGUGCGAAGAACCAGUAUGUCCAAAAAUAUAUGUUACUCGAUUCUUAAAAACUGUAUGGCAUGGCAAAAUAAAUUUACAAAUUGCUAAUUUUUCUGUUUUGUAUAAUAUCUUUGUUCACUCUACUUGAACAGGUACACAUGUUAAGUUUUCUUUCAUCUUAUCUUUGGCACAGAAAGCACCAUCAAAAUUUAAACAUUUUUUUUAUUUUUUUCAUUCGGCUGUUGAGGGAGGGAUUGUUGUUGGCGGAUGAACCCUUUAGGUAAUUAUCUGUUGCUUAUUGAACUCCCCCAAUCAUGAGUUUUGACUCAGAAGAAGAUUUUGAUGAUGACAGAUACUAAAUUGAAUUUUGGCUCAAAUUGUAUUAAAAAUUUCAAUUCGGAGCAAUUUUUAUGACGAAGAAGGAUGAAUCCUAAACAUAUAUAUGAAUAUAGUCAAUUUCCACAUGCUCCAUUCAAUAGAUGAAUUGUAAACAUAUGAAUUACAAGCACCUGAAUUGAAUAGAUGCUUUUAAUUCUUCUCUCAUCUAAACCGUAGAUUUUUCUGCAAUUUUAUUUCUAUGUUGCUUAUAUCAUUGUUGUUUGAAUAUAUGGUUUAACUUAUUUCAUUAAUCAGAAAAUAUAUUACCGAUAGUUUGAUUGGUUAAGCUAAGAUGUUUUUCAUAGUAUCGCAUGAAGCUCGAUAGGAAAGUAGUUCCAUUGUCUGGUUGCUGCUGUUUUCUCAUUGUGCAGGAAGCUUUAUGGCGUUCAACGUGCCAAAUCAUUGUGCUGGCACUAUUCUGUUUCAGUAUUUGUUGGAUUAGAAUGUACUCAUUGUUUUAAGUGAGUAUUAAUUUCGACUCUUGAUAAAUAUUUUGAAUGAUAAAUCAAAGGGCAGGGAGCGAGAGUCGGAGAAGCUCUUAGUUUGGGUGUUUUAACAUGUUGAUGUUGUGUGUUUUACUGUUUUAUUAGAUAUGUGCUUCAUAUGCAGAUAAUGUAUUUCUGAUUUGAAAUUUUCAUCAUUAUUCCAUUGAUUUAGUAAUUAAAUUUAUGCCUUGAUUUAGCUUUUUUAUCAUGAUGAGUAUUAGGAACAGAGUAGGAGAGGUUGGUGAUUUUACAGAGCACAAUCAUUAGGCUGCUUCGAUGCUCUGUGUUUAUUGAUUAAGAUUGUUCUCCAGCAGUGGAAUCUGAGGAAGAUUUCAAAAACUGGGAAAUUAUUUUGUUCUCCACUUGGUAAUUGGUGGAGAUGUCAAGUUAUGUGGGUGUUCACAUUACGGAUCAAUCGCUUCAAAGCCAGUUCACGCAGGUUUAGCUGUGCAGUCUAGAAUAUAAAACUCAGAAUGGGAAAGUUAUGGCUGGAGAUUUGCCACCUUUAAUGGUGAACUUAAAGGCAUUUAGAGAAACGUAUUCUGAGGACAUCAGAGAUGUCUUAAGUGGCUUGGAUUCUGACUUCAGGGAUGAGAUUCAUUCUUCCUUAAGAACAAGUCCGAUAACAUGGCCUUGAAGAUUAUCAAUCAAGAUGUCUACAAACUAGACAAAUUUGAUGGAUCAAACUUCACCUGAUGGAAGGACAAAAUGCGUUUCAUGCUUACUGUUCUAAAUGUCAUUUAUGUGUUGGACUCGAAAUUAGAGCCUAUUGGUGAACCAAGUGACAAAGAUAUGGACAAAAUAGUUGCCGAUAGAAAGAAACGUGAAGAAGAUGAAUUGGUAUGUAGAGGACACAUCUUGGACACAUUAUCUGAUUGCUCAUAUGACCUGUACGCACACAUUCAAUCUCUGAAGGAAAUUUGGGAAGCACUUGAACACAAGUACACAACAGAGAAAAGAUGUACUGAUAAAAUUUUUAAUGUUCAAAUAUUAUGAGUUCACUAUGUUUGAUAACAAACCGAUUCUAGACCAAGUUCAUGAAUUAUUGGUCUUGGUCUCAAAGCUUCAUGAACUUAAAAUAGUUAUUUUGGAUCCUAUGAUAGUUGGGGCUAUUAUGGCAAAAUUACCCCAAACAUGGAAUAAUUAUAGAAAGAAACUUCUACACAUGGUGAAAGAUAUUAGUUUGGAGGAUUUGCAAAAGAGUAUUCAAAUUGAAGAAGAAACUCGAAAUCGUGAUAAGAAUUUUGCAAAUCAAGAUUUGUCCAAAGUUCACAUUGUUGAAUGAAAUAAAUACAAAAAGAACUUCAAAGUCAAAGUUGAUAAAGGGAAGUUUAAGAAGACCAAUUCCAACAACAAUCAAAAGAAUGCAAAUGGUGUCUACUACCAUUGUGGAAAGAAAUGCCAUUACAUUCGUGAUUGUAGACACAUAAAAGCAAGUGAGGAAUAUGCUAAUAAGACCAAUAAUGCAAAUAUGGUGGAAAACUCUGGAGUUGAUAACAUUGUUGCAAUGGUAUCAAUGAUGCAUAUCGACAUGGUUACCGAACUAAAUAUGGCAGCGGCAAUAAAAUCCUCUGAUUAAUGGCUCGACUCAGGAGCUACUAUACAUGUGUGUAAUGACAAGGCACCAUUCAUGACAUAUGAAGCAUUAAUGAACAAUCAAGAGGUUUUAAUGGGGAAUUAUAAUUCCGCCAAAGUUAUAGGAAAAUGAACCAUUGAACUUCAAUUUAUUUCUGGGAAGUAAUUGAUGUUGCUUAAUGUAUUGCAUGUUCCAGAAAUUAGAAAGAAUCUUGUGUCUACAAAUUUAUUAUGUAAGAACGGUAUAAAGACUGUUCUAGAGUCCGACAAGUUAAUAAUGUCGAAAAAUGGAAUGUUUGUUGGGAAUGGGUACUCUUGUGAUGGGAUGUUCAAACUAAGUAUUAAUAAUAAAGUGAAUUCUUCUGCUUAUAUUAUUGAAUCUUCCUCUCAUUUAUGGCAUUUACGUUUAACACAUAAAUUUUAGAUCUUUAAAAUACAUGCG
Molecule: long non-coding RNA, 3621 nt
Organism: Pyrus x bretschneideri (Chinese white pear)
Lineage: Eukaryota; Viridiplantae; Streptophyta; Magnoliopsida; Rosales; Rosaceae
Exons: 7
Source: RefSeq, a predicted model, not a curated record